RNAcentral lists this non-coding RNA (21 nucleotides) under Caenorhabditis elegans. Lineage: Eukaryota; Metazoa; Nematoda; Chromadorea; Rhabditida; Rhabditidae. The record is from RNAcentral.
UGUAGUACACACACCAUAGAA